Molecule: ribosomal RNA, 654 nt
Filed under: uncultured Bacteroidales bacterium
Lineage: Bacteria; Pseudomonadati; Bacteroidota; Bacteroidia; Bacteroidales
Description: bacterial SSU rRNA
Rfam family: Bacterial small subunit ribosomal RNA
Source: RNAcentral
GGCGACCGGCGCACGGGUGAGUAACGCGUAUGCAACCUGCCUGAUACCGGGGUAUAGCCCAUGGAAACGUGGAUUAACACCCCAUAGUACUUUUAUCCUGCAUGGGAUGUGAGUUAAAUGUUUAAGGUAUCGGAUGGGCAUGCGUCCUAUUAGUUAGUUGGCGGGGUAACAGCCCACCAAGACGAUGAUAGGUAGGGGUUCUGAGAGGAAGGUCCCCCACAUUGGAACUGAGACACGGUCCAAACUCCUACGGGAGGCAGCAGUGAGGAAUAUUGGUCAAUGGACGUAAGUCUGAACCAGCCAAGUCGCGUGAGGGAAGACUGCCCUAUGGGUUGUAAACCUCUUUUAUAAGGGAAGAAUAAGUUCUACGUGUAGAAUGAUGCCUGUACCUUAUGAAUAAGCAUCGGCUAACUCCGUGCCAGCAGCCGCGGUAAUACGGAGGAUGCGAGCGUUAUCCGGAUUUAUUGGGUUUAAAGGGUGCGUAGGCGGUUUAUUAAGUUAGUGGUUAAAUAUUUGAGCUAAACUCAAUUGUGCCAUUAAUACUGGUAAACUGGAGUACAGACGAGGUAGGCGGAAUAAGUUAAGUAGCGGUGAAAUGCAUAGAUAUAACUUAGAACUCCGAUAGCGAAGGCAGCUUACCAGACUGUAACUGAC